This 475-nucleotide ribosomal RNA is filed under the name uncultured bacterium. RNAcentral's name for it is "partial 16S ribosomal RNA". It matches the Rfam family "Bacterial small subunit ribosomal RNA", at positions 28 to 507 of the family's 1533-position model. The record is from RNAcentral.
GAUGAACGCUAGCGGCAGGCCUAACACAUGCAAGUCGAGGGAUAAGCCUUCGGGCUAAGACCGGCGCACGGGUGCGUAACGCGUAUACAAUCUGCCUUUUAUCCGGGGGAUAGCCCGAAGAAAUUUGGAUUAAUACCCUAUGGUAUAAGAGCACGGCAUCGUGCACUUAUUAAAGCUACGGCGGUAAAAGAUGAGUAUGCGUUCUAUUAGCUAGUUGGAGAGGUAACGGCUCCCCAAGGCGACGAUAGAUAGGGGUUCUGAGAGGGAUGUCCCCCACACUGGUACUGAGAUACGGACCAGACUCCUACGGGAGGCAGCAGUGAGGAAUAUUGGACAAUGGUCGGAAGACUGAUCCAGCCAUGCCGCGUGCAGGAUGACGGCCUUAUGGGUUGUAAACUGCUUCUGUAAGGGAAGAAUAAGGAGUACGUGUACUUUGAUGACGGUACCUUACGAAUAAGCAUCGGCUAACUCCGUG